CAGGACGAACGCUGGCGGCGUGCCUAAUACAUGCAAGUCGAACGGUCUUUCUAUGGAAGCUUGCUUCCACUGAGAAGAUAGUGGCGAACGGGUGAGUAACACGUGGGUAACCUGCCCAUAAGAGGGGGAUAACAUCCGGAAACGGGUGCUAAUACCGCAUAGUUUUCUUGAUCGCAUGAUUGAGAAAGGAAGGACGGCCUUUGUGCUGUCGCUUAUGGAUGGACCCGCGGCGUAUUAGUUAGUUGGUGAGGUAACGGCUCACCAAGACGAUGAUACGUAGCCGACCUGAGAGGGUGAUCGGCCACAUUGGGACUGAGACACGGCCCAAACUCCUACGGGAGGCAGCAGUAGGGAAUCUUCCGCAAUGGACGAAAGUCUGACGGAGCAACGCCGCGUGAGUGAAGAAGGUUUUUCCGGAUCGUAAAACUCUGUUGUCAGAGAAGAACAAGUUGGAGAGUAACUGCUCCAGCCUUGACGGUAUCUGACCAGAAAGCCACGGCUAACUACGUGCCAGCCGCUGC
Molecule: ribosomal RNA, 521 nt
Filed under: uncultured bacterium
Lineage: Bacteria
Description: bacterial SSU rRNA
Rfam family: Bacterial small subunit ribosomal RNA
Source: RNAcentral